Long non-coding RNA from Chinchilla lanigera (long-tailed chinchilla), 212 nucleotides. RefSeq lists it as uncharacterized. Lineage: Eukaryota; Metazoa; Chordata; Mammalia; Rodentia; Chinchillidae. The transcript has 3 exons. The record is from RefSeq and is a predicted model, not a curated record.
CUUAGAACUCAGCUGCAGGAAGUUCUGGAGGGCAAGAGGAGGAGUCAGAAGGCAGUUCUGCCCCCAACAUUUCAGCAUUUGAAGCAGAAGAAACCUGACCCCCAGAGAAGAUUGAAAAGCAAGCACCUGGCUGCCGCAGCUGGAAGAAUCCCGCCCGAAGGCUUUCCUGACCUUUCACAAGGACAACCACCAGGAUCACAGUGAAGAGAACG